GUGGGGUUGUGGCUCAGUGGUAGAGCACUCAUGUAGCAUGUGGGAGGCCCUGGGUUCAAUCCUCAGCACCACA
RNAcentral lists this transfer RNA (73 nucleotides) under Marmota monax (woodchuck). Its description in RNAcentral is "tRNA.Ala". It matches the Rfam family "tRNA". Rfam says of the family: Transfer RNA (tRNA) molecules are approximately 80 nucleotides in length. Their secondary structure includes four short double-helical elements and three loops (D, anti-codon, and T loops). Further hydrogen bonds mediate the characteristic L-shaped molecular structure. tRNAs have two regions of fundamental functional importance: the anti-codon, which is responsible for specific mRNA codon recognition, and the 3' end, to which the tRNAs corresponding amino acid is attached (by aminoacyl-tRNA synthetases). tRNAs cope with the degeneracy of the genetic code in two manners: having more than one tRNA (with a specific anti-codon) for a particular amino acid; and 'wobble' base-pairing, i.e. permitting non-standard base-pairing at the 3rd anti-codon position. The record is from RNAcentral. Lineage: Eukaryota; Metazoa; Chordata; Mammalia; Rodentia; Sciuridae.